AGUGAACGCUGGCGGCGUGCCCUAAUACAUGCAAGUCGAACGGACAAGUAAGAGCUUGCUCUUAUGAGUUAGUGGCGCACGGGUGAGUAAUGUAUAGCUAAUCUGCCCUACACUAGAGGACAACAGUUGGAAACGACUGCUAAUACUCUAUACUCCUCUUUAACAUAAGUUAGAUAGGGAAAGUUUUUCGGUGUAGGAUGAGGCUAUAUUGUAUCAGCUAGUUGGUGAGGUAAUGGCUCACCAAGGCUAUGACGCAUAACUGGUCUGAGAGGAUGAUCAGUCACACUGGAACUGAGACACGGUCCAGACUCCUACGGGAGGCAGCAGUAGGGAAUAUUGCUCAAUGGGGGAAACCCUGAAGCAGCAACGCCGCGUGGAGGAUGACACUUUUCGGAGCGUAAACUCCUUUUGUUAUGGGAAGAACAAUGACGGACCUA
This 437-nucleotide ribosomal RNA is filed under the name Campylobacter concisus. RNAcentral's name for it is "bacterial SSU rRNA". It matches the Rfam family "Bacterial small subunit ribosomal RNA", at positions 29 to 480 of the family's 1533-position model. Lineage: Bacteria; Pseudomonadati; Campylobacterota; Epsilonproteobacteria; Campylobacterales; Campylobacteraceae. The record is from RNAcentral.